Non-coding RNA from Oryza meridionalis, 202 nucleotides. The record is from Rfam. Lineage: Eukaryota; Viridiplantae; Streptophyta; Magnoliopsida; Poales; Poaceae.
UAUAAGUGCAGCCAUAAAUUUCCGUACCCAACUUUAAUCAUACGUCUUAUUUAUUUUUUGUGAUUAGUAUUUUUAUUGUUACUAGAUGAUAAAAUAUAAAUAGUACUUUAUGCGCGACUUAUGUUUUUAAACUUUUUUAAUAAAACUUUUAAAUAAGACGGACGAUUAAAGUUGAGCAUGGAAAAUCAUGGCUGUACUUAAA